GAUGAACGCUAGCGACAGGCUUAACACAUGCAAGUCGAGGGGCAGCGGGGAGGUAGCAAUACUUCCGCCGGCGACCGGCGCACGGGUGAGUAACACGUAUGGAACCUGCCCGUAGCAGGGGGAUAAGCGGAAGAAAUUCCGUCUAAUACCGCGUAACAACGUUGGGAGGCAUCUCCCGAUGUUUAAAGAUUUAUCGGCUGCGGAUGGCCAUGCGGCGCAUUAGCUAGUCGGCGGGGUAACGGCCCACCGAGGCGACGAUGCGUAGGGGUUCUGAGAGGAAGGUCCCCCACACUGGUACUGAGACACGGACCAG
Molecule: ribosomal RNA, 313 nt
Filed under: uncultured bacterium
Lineage: Bacteria
Description: bacterial SSU rRNA
Rfam family: Bacterial small subunit ribosomal RNA
Source: RNAcentral